CGCUAGUAAUCGCGCAUCAGCCAUGGCGCGGUGAAUACGUUCCCGGGCCUUGUACACACCGCCCGUCAAGCCAUGGGAGCCGGGGGCGCCUGAAGUCCGGGACCGCGAGGACCGGCCUAGGGCGAAACUGGUGACUGGGGCUAAGUCGUAACAAGGUAGC
RNAcentral lists this ribosomal RNA (160 nucleotides) under uncultured bacterium. Its description in RNAcentral is "partial 16S ribosomal RNA". It matches the Rfam family "Bacterial small subunit ribosomal RNA", at positions 1333 to 1500 of the family's 1533-position model. The record is from RNAcentral.